GUUCGAUUGAAAGGAGUUCUGAAUGUACGGGGUUGCUUUAAGCGUUGCGAUGCAAGCAGUGAUGUUGGUAAGCGGGGCCGAUGCCUACGAGGAUGCUUACCAAAAGUCGACCGAGAAUGGGACACCAUUAUUGGUUCUGGUCGGUGCGGAUUGGUGCCCAGGAUGUGUCACCAUGAAGCAAGGUGUGCUGGCACGCCUGCGUGACCGUGGUCGGUUGCAUCGCG
RNAcentral lists this unclassified non-coding RNA (224 nucleotides) under Hevea brasiliensis (rubber tree). Lineage: Eukaryota; Viridiplantae; Streptophyta; Magnoliopsida; Malpighiales; Euphorbiaceae. The record is from RNAcentral.